This 856-nucleotide ribosomal RNA is filed under the name uncultured archaeon. RNAcentral's name for it is "bacterial SSU rRNA". It matches the Rfam family "Archaeal small subunit ribosomal RNA", at positions 85 to 922 of the family's 1478-position model. The record is from RNAcentral.
ACGGCUCAGUAACACGUGGCUAACCUGCCCUUGGGACGAGAAUACCCCCGGGAAACUGGGGCUAAUUCUCGAUAGGUGAAGAUCUCUGGAAUGAGUUUUCGCUUAAAAGACGUUGGGGUUAUGCUCUCCAGCGUCGCCCAAGGAUGGGGCCGCGACAGAUCAGGUUGUUGGUGAGGUAAUGGCUCACCAAGCCUUUUACCGGUGCGGGCCGUGGGAGCGGGAGCCCGGAGAUGGGCACUGAGACAAGGGCCCAGGCCCUACGGGGCGCAGCAGUCGCGAAAACUUUGCAAUAAGCGAAAGCUUGACAGGGCUAUCCCGAGUGCCAUCCGCUGAGGAAGGCUUUUACCCAGUCUAGAACGCUGGGGGAAUAAGGAGAGGGCAAGUCUGGUGUCAGCCGCCGCGGUAAUACCAGCUCUCCGAGUGGUGUGGAUGUUUAUUGGGCCUAAAGCAUCCGUAGCUGGCUAGGCUAGUCCCCUGUUAAAUCCACCGAAUUAAUCGUUGGAUUGCGGGGGAUACUGCUUGGCUAGGGGACGAGAGGGGCAGACGGUAUUUCCGGGGUAGGGGUGAAAUCCUAUAAUCCCGGGAAGACCACCAGUGGCGAAGGCUGUCUGCUAGAACGCGCCCGACGGUGAGGGAUGAAAGCUGGGGGAGCGAACCGGAUUAGAUACCCGGGUAGUCCCCAGCUGUAAACGAUGCAGACUAGGUGUUUGGACGGCCACGUGCCGUUCUAGUGCCGCAGGGAAGCUGUUAAGUCUGCCGCCUGGGGAGUACGAUCGCNAGAUUGAAACUUAAAGGAAUUGGCGGGGGAACACCCACAAGGGGUGAAGCUUGCGGUUUAAUUGGAGUCAACGCCGGA